CCUACGGGAGGCAGCAGUGAGGAAUAUUGGUCAAUGGACGAGAGUCUGAACCAGCCAAGUAGCGUGAAGGAUGACUGCCCUAUGGGUUGUAAACUUCUUUUAUAUGGGAAUAAACUGUUCCACGUGUGGGAUUUUGUAUGUACCAUAUGAAUAAGGAUCGGCUAACUCCGUGCCAGCAGCCGCGGUAAUACGGAGGAUCCGAGCGUUAUCCGGAUUUAUUGGGUUUAAAGGGAGCGUAGGUGGAUUGUUAAGUCAGUUGUGAAAGUUUGCGGCUCAACAGUAAAAUUGCAGUUGAAACUGGCAGUCUUGAGUACAGUAGAGGUGGGCGGAAUUCGGGGUGUAGCGGUGAAAUGCUUAGAUAUCACGAAGAACUCCGAUUGCGAAGGCAGUUCACUGGACUGCAACUGACACUGAGGCUCGAAAGUGUGGGUAUCAAACAGGAUUAGAUACCCCGGUAGUC
This 460-nucleotide ribosomal RNA is filed under the name uncultured bacterium. RNAcentral describes it as "partial 16S ribosomal RNA". It matches the Rfam family "Bacterial small subunit ribosomal RNA", at positions 338 to 795 of the family's 1533-position model. The record is from RNAcentral.